GCCCACGGCCAGGUCGGUGUAGCCGUCGCCGUUGUAGUCGCCGGGCGCGGUGUGGGAGCCGAACUGGUCGUCGGUCUCGGCGGCGCCGGGGACGCC
Molecule: transfer RNA, 96 nt
Filed under: Streptomyces griseoloalbus
Lineage: Bacteria; Bacillati; Actinomycetota; Actinomycetes; Kitasatosporales; Streptomycetaceae
Description: tRNA-Tyr
Source: RNAcentral